UCAGUAACACGUAGUCAACAUGCCCAGGGGACGUGGAUAACCUCGGGAAACUGAGGAUAAACCGCGAUAAGUCACUACUUCUGGAAUGGGUAACGACUUAAACCUAUAUGGCCCCUGGAUUGGACUGCGGCCGAUCAGGCUGUUGGUGAGGUAAUGGCCCACCAAACCUGUAACCGGUACGGGCUCUGAGAGGAGGAGCCCGGAGAUGGGCACUGAGACAAGGGCCCAGGCCCUAUGGGGCGCAGCAGGCGCGAAACCUCUGCAAUAGGCGAAAGCCUGACAGGGUUACUCUGAGUGAUUUCCGUUAAGGAGGUCUUUUGGCACCUCUAAAAAUGGUGCAGAAUAAGGGGUGGGCAAGUCUGGUGCCAGCAGCCG
This 375-nucleotide ribosomal RNA is filed under the name unidentified archaeon. Its description in RNAcentral is "bacterial SSU rRNA". It matches the Rfam family "Archaeal small subunit ribosomal RNA", at positions 90 to 467 of the family's 1478-position model. The record is from RNAcentral.